Molecule: ribosomal RNA, 253 nt
Filed under: uncultured bacterium
Lineage: Bacteria
Description: partial 16S ribosomal RNA
Rfam family: Bacterial small subunit ribosomal RNA
Source: RNAcentral
UACAGAGGGUGCGAGCGUUGUUCGGAAUUAUUGGGCGUAAAGGGCGCGUAGGCGGCGCCACAAGUCACCUGUGAAAACUCUGGGCUCAACCCAGAGCCUGCAGGCGAAACUGUGGUGCUGGAGUAUGGGAGAGGUGCGUGGAAUUCCCGGUGUAGCGGUGAAAUGCGUAGAUAUCAGGAGGAACACCUGUGGCGAAAGCGGCUCACUGGACCACAACUGACGCUGAAGCACGAAAGCUAGGGGAGCAAACAGG